GAUGAAGAACGUAGCGAAAUGCGAUACGUAAUGUGAAUUGCAGAAUUCAGUGAAUCAUCGAAUCUUUGAACGCACAUUGCGCCUGCCAGCACUCUGGCAGGCAUGCCUGUUCGAGCGUCGUUUCAACCAUCAAGCCCUAGGCUUGCGUUGGAGCCCUGCGGCUGCCGCAGGCCCCUAAAAGCAGUGGCGGGCUCGCUAUCACACCGAGUGCAGUAGAUUACUCUUCGCUCAGGGCGUGUGGCGGGUUCCAGCCGUGAAACCCCCUACUUCUCAAGGUUGACCUCGGAUCAGGUAGGAAUACCCGCUGAACUUAAGCAUAUCAAUAAGCGGAGGA
RNAcentral lists this unclassified non-coding RNA (334 nucleotides) under soil metagenome. RNAcentral's name for it is "partial contains 5.8S ribosomal RNA, internal transcribed spacer 2, and large subunit ribosomal RNA". The stretch from base 1 to 120 matches the Rfam family "5.8S ribosomal RNA", at positions 35 to 154 of the family's 154-position model. The record is from RNAcentral.